This 440-nucleotide ribosomal RNA is filed under the name uncultured bacterium. RNAcentral's name for it is "partial 16S ribosomal RNA". It matches the Rfam family "Bacterial small subunit ribosomal RNA", at positions 338 to 795 of the family's 1533-position model. The record is from RNAcentral.
CCUACGGGAGGCAGCAGUGGGGGAUAUUGCACAAUGGGGGAAACCCUGAUGCAGCGACGCCGCGUGUGGGAAGACGGUCCUCUGGAUUGUAAACUACUGUCCCCAGGGACGAAGAUGACGGUACCUGGGUAGGAAGCUCCGGCUAACUACGUGCCCGCAGCCGCGGUAAUACGUAGGGAGCGAGCGUUGUCCGGAAUUACUGGGUGUAAAGGGAGCGUAGGCGGGACUGCAAGUUGGGUGUCAAAUCUACCGGCUCAACCGGUAGCCGCACUAAAUACUGCAGUUCUUGAGUAAAGUAGAGGCAGGCGGAAUUCCUAGUGUAGCGGUGAAAUGCGUAGAUAUUAGGAAGAACACCAGUGGCGAAGGCGGCCUGCUGGGCUUUUACUGACGCUGAGGCUCGAAAGUGUGGGGAGCAAACAGGAUUAGAUACCCCAGUAGUC